Molecule: non-coding RNA, 97 nt
Organism: Ceratotherium simum simum (southern white rhinoceros)
Lineage: Eukaryota; Metazoa; Chordata; Mammalia; Perissodactyla; Rhinocerotidae
Source: RefSeq, a predicted model, not a curated record
GUUUAAUGGAAACAUUUGUUUAACAAAGACAGGAGGUUUUCUGUACUGACUGUACUGGUUGGAGAAGUACAGCUUCAUGAUAAAAGGAGCUUUAGUG